GGGUAUGAUGAAGUAUGCAUGGAGAUUUUGAGUAGUCAACAAGGAAUCGAUCACUCCUUGUAGAAGGAGAGAACAUCCUAUGUGAUCUCAUAGGAUGAUGACUCUGAGAGUCUCUGAUUAGAGCAGGGAUGAAUAAUAGAAAUGAUUUCUACUGGUUCAUGAAUUGAGUCAUCAUCAUCGAAUUAAGAUACAUAUGGUUAGAUAUUUGGGUUUGACAUAU
Molecule: long non-coding RNA, 220 nt
Filed under: Elaeis guineensis (African oil palm)
Lineage: Eukaryota; Viridiplantae; Streptophyta; Magnoliopsida; Arecales; Arecaceae
Description: long non-coding RNA (EGUI_LNC055055)
Source: RNAcentral